GUCAACAUUAAAAUUGUAUCAAUAUUACUUCAAUCAAGCUUGAAUUUUAAACAUUAAAUUCGUCUAUCCACGUUUUGUUACGCUUCGUUGGCCGUAAGGUAAUGUAUAUUUUAGUUUCAACUAUGUAAAGUAUAUAAAUGGGCCGAUUUUCAAUCAUUUUCGACACACAGCUAUGAUGCUUGGCCGGUGCUUAUUAUUCCUAGCCCUAACCGCCAUCGCCGCGUCUGCCCCCGCGGAGUCGGGCUGGCGCUGCACCGGCGGCCUCGGCUCGCCCACCGUCUGCAUCGGCCCGGCUGGUGCGCCCCGCUACAGCCCACCGGCCAUCCAGAUCUUACCGCCUUUACCCCCGUGCUCUGGGCCGGCGGUCGUGCUUACCCCGCCUCCCAGUCCUUGUCCGCAACCGUGCCCGCAACCGUGCCCACAACCGUACCCGUCGCCGUGCCCGCAACCGUUUCCAUCGCAUUGUCAAUAUUAUAACUAAACGACGAUCAUUAAAUACGGCUUUAGUAGUCGAAAUUCUUCGCAAAUAUUCACUAAUUUUCUUGUAAGUUUGCGAAGUUAAAUAAUAUAAACGACAUUUUCUAA
Cydia splendana is the source of this 585-nucleotide long non-coding RNA. RefSeq lists it as uncharacterized. The record is from RefSeq and is a predicted model, not a curated record. The transcript has 2 exons. Lineage: Eukaryota; Metazoa; Arthropoda; Insecta; Lepidoptera; Tortricidae.